This 501-nucleotide ribosomal RNA is filed under the name uncultured bacterium. RNAcentral describes it as "partial 16S ribosomal RNA". It matches the Rfam family "Bacterial small subunit ribosomal RNA", at positions 30 to 523 of the family's 1533-position model. The record is from RNAcentral.
AUUGAACGCUGGCGGCAGGCUUAACACAUGCAAGUCGAGCGGGGGAAGGUAGCUUGCUACCGGACCUAGCGGCGGACGGGUGAGUAAUGCUUAGGAAUCUGCCUAUUAGUGGGGGACAACAUCUCGAAAGGGAUGCUAAUACCGCAUACGUCCUACGGGAGAAAGCAGGGGAUCUUCGGACCUUGCGCUAAUAGAUGAGCCUAAGUCGGAUUAGCUAGUUGGUGGGGUAAAGGCUUACCAAGGCGACGAUCUGUAGCGGGUCUGAGAGGAUGAACCGCGACACUGGGACUGAGACACGGACCAGACUCCUACGGGAGGCAGCAGUGGGGAAUAUUGGACAAUGGGGGGAACCCUGAUCCAGCCAUGCCGCGUGUGUGAAGAAGGCCUUAUGGUUGUAAAGCACUUUAAGCGAGGAGGAGGCUACUUUAGUUAAUACCUAGAGAUAGUGGACGUUACUCGCAGAAUAAGCACCGGCUAACUCUGUGCCAGCCGCCGCGGUAA